UACGGAGGGGGCUAGCGUUGCUCGGAAUCACUGGGCGUAAAGCGCACGUAGGCGGAUUCCUAAGUCAGGGGUGAAAUCCUGGAGCUCAACUCCAGAACUGCCUUUGAUACUGGGAAUCUUCGAGUCCGGGAGAGGUGAGUGGAACUGCGAGUGUAGAGGUGAAAUUCGUAGAUAUUCGCAAGAACACCAGUGGCGAAGGCGGCUCACUGGCCCGGUACUGACGCUGAGGUGCGAAAGCGUGGGGAGCAAACAGG
Molecule: ribosomal RNA, 254 nt
Filed under: uncultured bacterium
Lineage: Bacteria
Description: partial 16S ribosomal RNA
Rfam family: Bacterial small subunit ribosomal RNA
Source: RNAcentral